The sequence is a regulatory RNA element, 116 nucleotides long. It matches the Rfam family "PyrR binding site". Rfam says of the family: This family represents the PyrR binding site and terminator structure. This RNA structure is found upstream of a variety of genes involved in pyrimidine biosynthesis and transport. The record is from Rfam.
AUCCUUUUUAAAUGCAGUCCCGUGAGGCUGACAAAGAGGAAAAAACCGGGUUAUUAUUCAAAAUUCGGUAAUUUUCUAACCUCUUUGUGCCAUCAUGGACAAAGAGGUUUUUUAAU